GUACUCGCUUCGGUUGUACAUAUACUAAAAUUGGAACAAUACAGAGAUGAUUAGCAAGCCCCUGCGCAAAGAUGACACGCAAAAUCGUGAAACGUUCCACAUUAGA
Cimex lectularius (bed bug) is the source of this 106-nucleotide small nuclear RNA. The record is from RefSeq and is a predicted model, not a curated record. NCBI's taxonomy places the organism in Eukaryota, Metazoa, Arthropoda, Insecta, Hemiptera, Cimicidae.